Molecule: small nuclear RNA, 201 nt
Filed under: Heterocephalus glaber (naked mole-rat)
Lineage: Eukaryota; Metazoa; Chordata; Mammalia; Rodentia; Bathyergidae
Description: U2 spliceosomal RNA (ENSHGLG00000050897.1)
Rfam family: U2 spliceosomal RNA
About the family: U2 is a small nuclear RNA (snRNA) component of the spliceosome (involved in pre-mRNA splicing). Complementary binding between U2 snRNA (in an area lying towards the 5' end but 3' to hairpin I) and the branchpoint sequence (BPS) of the intron results the bulging out of an unpaired adenosine, on the BPS, which initiates a nucleophilic attack at the intronic 5' splice site, thus starting the first of two transesterification reactions that mediate splicing.
Source: RNAcentral
AUUGUUUCUCGGCCUUUUGGCUAAGAUCAAGUGUAGUAUCUAAUACAAGAAAGCAUAUUGGAGCAAGGAUAGUACAUACCUGUAAUUUCACCACUCUUUUUUAUUUUUUUGAGACAGAGUCUCUGCAGUCCAGGCUGGCCUCAAACUGUGGCAAUCCUCUUGCCUCAGCCUCCCAAGUGCUGGGAUUACAGGUGUGCACCA